GGGCCGGUAGCUCAGUCGGUAGAGCAUCGGACUGAAAAUCCGAGUGUCGGCAGUUCGAUUCUGCCCUGGCCCACCA
RNAcentral lists this transfer RNA (76 nucleotides) under Pseudomonadota bacterium. RNAcentral describes it as "tRNA-Phe". It matches the Rfam family "tRNA". From Rfam's summary of the family: Transfer RNA (tRNA) molecules are approximately 80 nucleotides in length. Their secondary structure includes four short double-helical elements and three loops (D, anti-codon, and T loops). Further hydrogen bonds mediate the characteristic L-shaped molecular structure. tRNAs have two regions of fundamental functional importance: the anti-codon, which is responsible for specific mRNA codon recognition, and the 3' end, to which the tRNAs corresponding amino acid is attached (by aminoacyl-tRNA synthetases). tRNAs cope with the degeneracy of the genetic code in two manners: having more than one tRNA (with a specific anti-codon) for a particular amino acid; and 'wobble' base-pairing, i.e. permitting non-standard base-pairing at the 3rd anti-codon position. Lineage: Bacteria; Pseudomonadati; Pseudomonadota. The record is from RNAcentral. RNAcentral also lists the same sequence under 2 other names.